CCGCGCCCCCGGCGACGGCCGAUCCCCCGCUGGGGCGGACGGGCCGCGCGGCUACGGGAGGCGCAGCCCCCCUCGGACCUGGGGGACGGUCUUAAAUGAGGGCAAAGGGCACAGGCGCUUCCUAAAACGAUCGAGAGGUUUAUUGAGACCGAUCCAGAGGCGUCGCCGAGGGGCCCCGCGCCCCCGCAGGCCCAGCUGCGGCCACGUCCCCAGCUCCUCGCAGCGCUAAGCUGCUCUCAAUGCCAAUUCCCGGAGCCCGGAAAACGAAACGGGGCGGCUUCUGGCCGCUGCUGGGAAAUUGCGACCUCUUCUCCACAUCCGUUUAAAUACAAUCUUCGAAUAAUCCGGGGCAAACCACCUGGAGGAGUGAUGCGUGAAUAACGCUCUAUAUCAUCACCGCGUGCAUCGUCUCGAGAGGCCUACAGUGCAGUCUUUAGUCACGCUUAAAAAUCGUAUUUCUCGCAUGAACGAAAAAACCAACAUUGCCGAAAUACGACUCCUUUCAGCAGAUCUGGGCCCCACUUGAUGGGGCAGAAACCCCAGAGUUGGCCACUGCGGCAGUGGGAGACAGAGGCUCCGUGGACCCCUGCAAAGCUUUUCUGAAAAUGCUAAUUCUUGGAGAAAGAAAGAUGCUGAUAAAAAACACUUCACAAGGGGGAAAUGUCCACUUGGCAGAGGCUGAGAAGUUUCCGUGUUAAGAUACCUUUUGAGGAGCUCUAUGUGAGACACCAUCUUGCACUUUUCCAUUAAUUCCCAGGAGAGGAGGCUCAGGGGUCAAGUAAAAUAGGAAGCCGACGUGUCAAGUCACAAACUCUCAACACCACCACCCACGGCGACAACUACACAGAGCUGAAGGGAGGGGGCGUAGGAGAGGGUGGCAAGGGACCAGAGCAACCUCAAAAAAUCACCGUUGUCACAAAGAAAAGCAUAAAAUAGUCUCUACAAUCUCCACGAGCACGUGUGGUUCAGCAUGCAGAUUCCACACAUCACACCACCAACUGAAGCUGAUCUUUUCUUCCUAAUGGAAAAUUAAGCUCUGCACAGAAUACAAGAUUGCAGGUGAAUAAUUCUCCUUGCUGUUGGAUGAACAGAUGUGAAUAACAGGACAAUCUCAAUCUCUAGGCAAUAAAAAAAUUAAAAAUU
RNAcentral lists this long non-coding RNA (1143 nucleotides) under Equus asinus (donkey). RNAcentral describes it as "lncRNA (ENSEASG00005037367.1)". Lineage: Eukaryota; Metazoa; Chordata; Mammalia; Perissodactyla; Equidae. The record is from RNAcentral.